RNAcentral lists this ribosomal RNA (497 nucleotides) under uncultured bacterium. RNAcentral describes it as "partial 16S ribosomal RNA". It matches the Rfam family "Bacterial small subunit ribosomal RNA", at positions 28 to 507 of the family's 1533-position model. The record is from RNAcentral.
GAUGAACGCUGGCGGCGUGCCUAAUACAUGCAAGUCGAGCGAACAGAUGAGGAGCUUGCUCCUCUGACGUUAGCGGCGGACGGGUGAGUAACACGUGGAUAACCUACCUAUAAGACUGGUAUAACUACGGGAAACCGGAUCUAAUACCGUAUAAUAUAUUUAACCGCAUGGUUCAAUAGUGAAAGACGGUUUUGCUGUCUCUUAUAGAUGGCUCGGGGCCGCAUUAGCUAGUUGGUAAGGUAAAGGCUUACCAAGGCAACGAUGCGUAGACGACCGGAGAGAGUGGUAGCCGACACUGGAACUGGACCGCGCUCCAGAGGACUACGGGACGCCGCAGUAGGCAAUGGUCCGCAGUGGGCGAGAGUCUUGCGGAGCAAGGCCGAGUGAGUGAUGGAGGUCUUGGGAGCGUAAAGCUGGGUUAUUAGUGGUAAACAAAUGUGUAAAGGAAUAAACACGUCGUGACGGUACCUACACAAAAAGCCCCGGCUAACUACGUG